GGGAGUAUAGCUCAGUGGUAAGAGCAUGUGCUUAGCAUGCACGAGGCCCUAGGUUCAAUCCCUAGUACCCCA
RNAcentral lists this transfer RNA (72 nucleotides) under Camelus bactrianus (Bactrian camel). It matches the Rfam family "tRNA". From Rfam's summary of the family: Transfer RNA (tRNA) molecules are approximately 80 nucleotides in length. Their secondary structure includes four short double-helical elements and three loops (D, anti-codon, and T loops). RNAcentral also lists the same sequence under 2 other names. The record is from Rfam by way of RNAcentral. Lineage: Eukaryota; Metazoa; Chordata; Mammalia; Artiodactyla; Camelidae.